Molecule: ribosomal RNA, 271 nt
Filed under: uncultured soil bacterium
Lineage: Bacteria
Description: partial 16S ribosomal RNA
Rfam family: Bacterial small subunit ribosomal RNA
Source: RNAcentral
AGAACGAACGCUGGCGGCAUGCCUAACACAUGCAAGUCGAACGAGACCUUCGGGUCUAGUGGCGCACGGGUGCGUAACGCGUGGGAAUCUGCCCUUGGGUACGGAAUAACAGCGAGAAAUUGCUGCUAAUACCGUAUAAUGACUUCGGUCCAAAGAUUUAUCGCCCAGGGAUGAGCCCGCGUAGGAUUAGCUUGUUGGUGAGGUAAGUGGCUCACCAAGGCUACGAUCCUUUAGCUGGUCUGAGAGGAUGAUCAGCCACACUGGGACUGAG